GAGGAAGAUCUAUCUCCCAACUUCCUAUUAUGUACCUUUAAUCUGUUCUUUGUAAUUUUGGAUUCUCAUCCUAGAGAAACCAUGUGAUAUCUGAGCUUGUAUGUCCGUUUUAUUUCAUACAUCCUUCUGUCCUACUUUCCAUUACAAAUUCUUUAUCUUUCCACUUCACGAGUGUACAGUGAAUUGCUACCAUUCUUUUUUUACAGCCCUGGUUCCUGCAAAUUUCCUAAAUUUAGUAUUCAUGCUUUUCAUUCUGUAGAAACAAACCUCCCACUAUGGUCUUCACAAAACCGCAUACGUCCACCUGUAAAAGAUUCCGGCAAUCCGAAAGGGAUUUAGUACGAGAACAGGACAGCGGGGAUUCUGUGCUGCCCUCUUCUACAUCUUCCGGGAAGGCCUUAGUGGAACCCCGGCUGGCAAAUCCACAAAGAGCGCACGUGGUGAUUUCCAUUCCUACCUCCCACCAAAAGGCAAAGUUCUCCACAGCACACUACUUUUAUGUAGGAAAACAUGGAGGGACGGAAAACUGGUAGAGGUAAGAAGAGCUCCUCUACUGCUCACUGGUGAGGGAGGAAACCUGGCCUGUAUAGCACGGAUGUGAAAAUGAGGUGACAUUUUUCACAGCACUACUAUCCUUAAUCUCUGCGAAAAGUGGACUCGCCCCCUAUGAAGGAACUUCCCAAGAAAGAACAAAGCUGUGUGUGGAAAUCUUUGCUGAAACUGCCCUACAUUGGACUAAGAGAGUUAUGACGCACGUGACCAAGUCCUCACAGUCUCUACCUGCUGGAGGUAUCUCCCCUUCUCGAGCUCUGCUUAUUACUGACCCCGCGGGCCGGGGCAAGUGGCGCCCGAACGUGGGACUUGAGACACGGGGUCUUCACCUGAUGGAUGCUGCUCAGAAGAUCGGCCGAUCGACUCCAGGACCUCCGCCCAAAUGGCGAGUUGGUUCUUCAUAGCGGUCCGCUCAGACCCACGCGUCUGAGAAAGCGACCUGCGAGGUAAGUGAGCAGCACAAAAAUGGGACAACAGGUUAAUAAACAUGUAAUUUUUGUUCAGGACUUAAAGUCCGCCCUCAGGGCGCGGGGAGUUCAAAUUAAAAAAAAAAAAAAAGGAUCUAAUUAAAUUCUUUAAAUUUGUGGAAGAAACCUGCCCUUGGUUUCCCCUUGAAGGAGUUGUUAAUGAAAAACACUGGAACAGAGUCAAAGAUUGUUUUGAUGAUUCCCUGACGAGGAUUUCAGGGUAAAAUCUAAGUUCUUUUUCUUUUGUAUGGCGCCUAUGUGUCUUGUCUGUGUCCUG
Fukomys damarensis (Damara mole-rat) is the source of this 1296-nucleotide long non-coding RNA. RefSeq lists it as uncharacterized. NCBI's taxonomy places the organism in Eukaryota, Metazoa, Chordata, Mammalia, Rodentia, Bathyergidae. The record is from RefSeq and is a predicted model, not a curated record. The transcript has 3 exons.